AUUGAACGCUGGCGGCAGGCUUAACACAUGCAAGUCGAACGAUGAUUAUCUAGCUUGCUAGAUAUGAUUAGUGGCGGACGGGUGAGUAACAUUUAGGAAUCUGCCUAGUAGUGGGGGAUAGCUCGGGGAAACUCGAAUUAAUACCGCAUACGACCUACGGGUGAAAGGGGGCGCAAGCUCUUGCUAUUAGAUGAGCCUAAAUCAGAUUAGCUAGUUGGUGGGGUAAAGGCCCACCAAGGCGACGAUCUGUAACUGGUCUGAGAGGAUGAUCAGUCACACCGGAACUGAGACACGGUCCGGACUCCUACGGGAGGCAGCAGUGGGGAAUAUUGGACAAUGGGGGCAACCCUGAUCCAGCCAUGCCGCGUGUGUGAAGAAGGCCUUUUGGUUGUAAAGCACUUUAAGCAGGGAGGAGAGGCUAAUGGUUAAUAUCCAUUAGAUUAGACGUUACCUGCAGAAUAAGCACCGGCUAACUCUGUGCCAGCAGCCGCGGUAAUACAGAGGGUGCGAGCGUUAAUCGGAAUUACUGGGCGUAAAGCGAGUGUAGGUGGCUCAUUAAGUCACAUGUGAAAUCCCCGGGCUUAACCUGGGAACUGCAUGUGAUACUGGUGGUGCUAGAAUAUGUGAGAGGGAAGUAGAAUUCCAGGUGUAGCGGUGAAAUGCGUAGAGAUCUGGAGGAAUACCGAUGGCGAAGGCAGCUUCCUGGCAUAAUAUUGACACUGAGAUUCGAAAGCGUGGGUAGCAAACAGGAUUAGAUACCCUGGUAGUCCACGCCGUAAACGAUGUCUACUAGCCGUUGGGGUCCUUGAGACUUUAGUGGCGCAGUUAACGCGAUAAGUAGACCGCCUGGGGAGUACGGCCGCAAGGUUAAAACUCAAAUGAAUUGACGGGGGCCCGCACAAGCGGUGGAGCAUGUGGUUUAAUUCGAUGCAACGCGAAGAACCUUACCUGGUCUUGACAUAGUGAGAAUCCUGCAGAGAUGCGGGAGUGCCUUCGGGAAUUCACAUACAGGUGCUGCAUGGCUGUCGUCAGCUCGUGUCGUGAGAUGUUGGGUUAAGUCCCGCAACGAGCGCAACCCUUUUCCUUAUUUGCCAGCGGGUUAAGCCGGGAACUUUAAGGAUACUGCCAGUGACAAACUGGAGGAAGGCGGGGACGACGUCAAGUCAUCAUGGCCCUUACGACCAGGGCUACACACGUGCUACAAUGGUAGGUACAGAGGGUUGCUACACAGCGAUGUGAUGCUAAUCUCAAAAAGCCUAUCGUAGUCCGGAUUGGAGUCUGCAACUCGACUCCAUGAAGUCGGAAUCGCUAGUAAUCGCGGAUCAGAAUGCCGCGGUGAAUACGUUCCCGGGCCU
Molecule: ribosomal RNA, 1355 nt
Filed under: uncultured bacterium
Lineage: Bacteria
Description: bacterial SSU rRNA
Rfam family: Bacterial small subunit ribosomal RNA
Source: RNAcentral